ACGAACGCUGGCGGCGUGCCUAAUACAUGCAAGUAGAACGCACAGUUUAUACCGUAGCUUGCUACACCAUAAACUGUGAGUUGCGAACGGGUGAGUAACGCGUAGGUAACCUGCCUGGUAGCGGGGGAUAACUAUUGGAAACGAUAGCUAAUACCGCAUAAUAUUGAUUAUUGCAUGAUAAUUGAUUGAAAGAUGCUAUUGCAUCACUACCAGAUGGACCUGCGUUGUAUUAGCUAGUAGGUGAGGUAACGGCUCACCUAGGCGACGAUACAUAGCCGACCUGAGAGGGUGAUCGGCCACACUGGGACUGAGACACGGCCCAGACUCCUACGGGAGGCAGCAGUAGGGAAUCUUCGGCAAUGGACGAAAGUCUGACCGAGCAACGCCGCGUGAGUGAAGAAGGUUUUCGGAUCGUAAAGCUCGGUUGUAAGAGAAGAACGGGUGUGAGAGUGGAAAGUUCACACUGUGACGGUAUCUUACCAGAAAGGGACGGCUAACUACGUG
Molecule: ribosomal RNA, 504 nt
Filed under: uncultured bacterium
Lineage: Bacteria
Description: partial 16S ribosomal RNA
Rfam family: Bacterial small subunit ribosomal RNA
Source: RNAcentral